UCCCACUGUCCCUGUCUA
This 18-nucleotide small nuclear RNA is filed under the name Arabidopsis thaliana (thale cress). Its description in RNAcentral is "snRNA_13040". The record is from RNAcentral. Lineage: Eukaryota; Viridiplantae; Streptophyta; Magnoliopsida; Brassicales; Brassicaceae.